CUCAUUACAAUUAACUCCUUUGGUAUGUUCAUUGAGACUAUCUACGUUGGUUUCUACCUUUUCUAUGCACCAAAGAAAGACAGGGUCCAAACUAUAAAAAUGCUCAUGUUAUCAGUGGUUGGUGGAUUUGGUGCAAUAGUCCUAGUUACAGAAUUUCUAUUCAAAGGAGUUGUUCGUGGACAAAUUGUUGGAUGGAUUUGCCUUAUUUUCUCGUUAUGUGUAUUUGUUGCACCCUUAGGCAUCGUGAGACAAGUUAUUAAAACAAAGAGCGUGGAAUACAUGCCAUUACUUCUAUCAAUUUUUCUCACAUUAAGUGCUGUUGUGUGGUUCUUCUAUGGUCUUUUACUAAAAGACAUUAACAUUGCCGCUCCAAAUGUUUUGGGAUUUAUUUUUGGUAUUCUCCAAAUUGUUUUGUAUGUAAUAUACAACAAAAAAGAGAAGGUCAUUCUAAAGGAACAGAAACUUCCAGAAAUACAAAAGGCAGCCGUGAUUGUGUCUGAUGAUAACACAAAUGUUAAUAAGAAGCUUCCAGAACUUACACAAGAACAAAUUAUUGACAUUGUGAGGCUUGCUGGUUUACUAGCUAAUACAGAUAAAGUACAAGUAGCCACGUGUCCACAUGAUCAUGCUAAUUGUGGAGUUAAAGCAACUCCUAAUGUAGAAAACAUGCCUAAGCUGCAAACUGUGGAAGCCAGCUAAUUAAUUAAGAAGUUAAUUAGUAGAAUUUCAUUUGUGGAUUUGGCAUUAAUUUCUUUGUUUUUGCUUUUUAUAAUAGUACUCAUGUGUUAUUAUUUGUAUCUAAACAAGUUAUUUCUAUUUUCUCUAAGUUUUUCUUUGCAUAAUG
Molecule: unclassified non-coding RNA, 844 nt
Filed under: Hevea brasiliensis (rubber tree)
Lineage: Eukaryota; Viridiplantae; Streptophyta; Magnoliopsida; Malpighiales; Euphorbiaceae
Source: RNAcentral